UGUCUUACGGAGCCUCACAAGCAAUGGGUUACUACCUUGCUCUUAUGACGUUAGCGGCGGAGGGGAGAGUAACACGUGUGAACCCCGCCGCUAUUACUGGGAUAACUGCGGGAAAGCGGGGCUUAUACCGGAUAACUUUUUGAAGCGCAUGGUGCGGAAUUGAAAGGCCGCUUCGGCUGUCAUUUAUGGAUGGACCCGCGUCGCAUUAGCUAGUUGGUGAGGUAACGGCUCACCAAGGAUCCGAUGCGAAACCGACCUGAGAGGGUGAUCGGCCACUCUGGGACUGACAUCCGCCCACACUCCUACGGGAGGCAUAUUUAGGGAAUCUUCCGCAAUGGACGAACUCUGACGGAGCAGCGCCGCGUGAGUGAUGAAUGCUUUCUCCUCUUAAUACUCUGUUGUUACUUAAGAACAAGUGCUAGUUGAAUAAGCUGGCACCUUGACGGUACCUAACCAGACCGCCACGGCUAACUACGUGCCAGCAGCCGCGGUAAUACGUGGGUGGCAAGCGUUAUCAGGAAUUAUUGCGCGUAAAGCGCGCACACGUGGUUUCUUAUGUCUGAUGUGAAAGCCAACCGGCUCAAUCGUGGAGUGUCUUUGGAAACUGGGAAGACUUCUAGUGGAUACGAUGAUAGUGGUAAUUCCUUGUGUAACAGCUGAAAUGGCUAAAGAUAUGUGCACGAGCCACAGUGGGGAAACGCGAGCUUUCUAGGCUGUGACUGACACAGAGGACGUCGAAAGCCUGGGGAACCAAGCGGGAUAAAUACGCUGGUAGUCGACGCGGGGAUUCAUGAAUGCUGUUGCUAAAGG
This 810-nucleotide ribosomal RNA is filed under the name Bacillus cereus. Its description in RNAcentral is "bacterial SSU rRNA". It matches the Rfam family "Bacterial small subunit ribosomal RNA", at positions 45 to 829 of the family's 1533-position model. Lineage: Bacteria; Bacillati; Bacillota; Bacilli; Caryophanales; Bacillaceae. The record is from RNAcentral.